RNAcentral lists this transfer RNA (74 nucleotides) under Azospirillum doebereinerae. It matches the Rfam family "tRNA". Rfam says of the family: Transfer RNA (tRNA) molecules are approximately 80 nucleotides in length. Their secondary structure includes four short double-helical elements and three loops (D, anti-codon, and T loops). The record is from Rfam by way of RNAcentral. Lineage: Bacteria; Pseudomonadati; Pseudomonadota; Alphaproteobacteria; Rhodospirillales; Azospirillaceae. RNAcentral also lists the same sequence under 1 other name.
CGGGGUGUAGCGCAGUCUGGUAGCGCGCCAGUUUUGGGUACUGGAGGUCUCCGGUUCGAAUCCGGGCUCCCCGA